This 2931-nucleotide ribosomal RNA is filed under the name Escherichia coli. RNAcentral's name for it is "bacterial LSU rRNA". It matches the Rfam family "Bacterial large subunit ribosomal RNA". The record is from RNAcentral. Lineage: Bacteria; Pseudomonadati; Pseudomonadota; Gammaproteobacteria; Enterobacterales; Enterobacteriaceae.
GGGUUGUGAGGUUAAGCGACUAAGCGUACACGGUGGAUGCCCUGGCAGUCAGAGGCGAUGAAGGACGUGCUAAUCUGCGAUAAGCGUCGGUAAGGUGAUAUGAACCGUUAUAACCGGCGAUUUCCGAAUGGGGAAACCCAGUGUGUUUCGACACACUAUCAUUAACUGAAUCCAUAGGUUAAUGAGGCGAACCGGGGGAACUGAAACAUCUAAGUACCCCGAGGAAAAGAAAUCAACCGAGAUUCCCCCAGUAGCGGCGAGCGAACGGGGAGCAGCCCAGAGCCUGAAUCAGUGUGUGUGUUAGUGGAAGCGUCUGGAAAGGCGCGCGAUACAGGGUGACAGCCCCGUACACAAAAAUGCACAUACUGUGAGCUCGAUGAGUAGGGCGGGACACGUGGUAUCCUGUCUGAAUAUGGGGGGACCAUCCUCCAAGGCUAAAUACUCCUGACUGACCGAUAGUGAACCAGUACCGUGAGGGAAAGGCGAAAAGAACCCCGGCGAGGGGAGUGAAAAAGAACCUGAAACCGUGUACGUACAAGCAGUGGGAGCCUCUUAAUGGGGUGACUGCGUACCUUUUGUAUAAUGGGUCAGCGACUUAUAUUCUGUAGCAAGGUUAACCGAAUAGGGGAGCCGAAGGGAAACCGAGUCUUAACUGGGCGUUAAGUUGCAGGGUAUAGACCCGAAACCCGGUGAUCUAGCCAUGGGCAGGUUGAAGGUUGGGUAACACUAACUGGAGGACCGAACCGACUAAUGUUGAAAAAUUAGCGGAUGACUUGUGGCUGGGGGUGAAAGGCCAAUCAAACCGGGAGAUAGCUGGUUCUCCCCGAAAGCUAUUUAGGUAGCGCCUCGUGAAUUCAUCUCCGGGGGUAGAGCACUGUUUCGGCAAGGGGGUCAUCCCGACUUACCAACCCGAUGCAAACUGCGAAUACCGGAGAAUGUUAUCACGGGAGACACACGGCGGGUGCUAACGUCCGUCGUGAAGAGGGAAACAACCCAGACCGCCAGCUAAGGUCCCAAAGUCAUGGUUAAGUGGGAAACGAUGUGGGAAGGCCCAGACAGCCAGGAUGUUGGCUUAGAAGCAGCCAUCAUUUAAAGAAAGCGUAAUAGCUCACUGGUCGAGUCGGCCUGCGCGGAAGAUGUAACGGGGCUAAACCAUGCACCGAAGCUGCGGCAGCGACACUAUGUGUUGUUGGGUAGGGGAGCGUUCUGUAAGCCUGUGAAGGUGUACUGUGAGGUAUGCUGGAGGUAUCAGAAGUGCGAAUGCUGACAUAAGUAACGAUAAAGCGGGUGAAAAGCCCGCUCGCCGGAAGACCAAGGGUUCCUGUCCAACGUUAAUCGGGGCAGGGUGAGUCGACCCCUAAGGCGAGGCCGAAAGGCGUAGUCGAUGGGAAACAGGUUAAUAUUCCUGUACUUGGUGUUACUGCGAAGGGGGGACGGAGAAGGCUAUGUUGGCCGGGCGACGGUUGUCCCGGUUUAAGCGUGUAGGCUGGUUUUCCAGGCAAAUCCGGAAAAUCAAGGCUGAGGCGUGAUGACGAGGCACUACGGUGCUGAAGCAACAAAUGCCCUGCUUCCAGGAAAAGCCUCUAAGCAUCAGGUAACAUCAAAUCGUACCCCAAACCGACACAGGUGGUCAGGUAGAGAAUACCAAGGCGCUUGAGAGAACUCGGGUGAAGGAACUAGGCAAAAUGGUGCCGUAACUUCGGGAGAAGGCACGCUGAUAUGUAGGUGAAGUCCCUCGCGGAUGGAGCUGAAAUCAGUCGAAGAUACCAGCUGGCUGCAACUGUUUAUUAAAAACACAGCACUGUGCAAACACGAAAGUGGACGUAUACGGUGUGACGCCUGCCCGGUGCCGGAAGGUUAAUUGAUGGGGUUAGCGGUAACGCGAAGCUCUUGAUCGAAGCCCCGGUAAACGGCGGCCGUAACUAUAACGGUCCUAAGGUAGCGAAAUUCCUUGUCGGGUAAGUUCCGACCUGCACGAAUGGCGUAAUGAUGGCCAGGCUGUCUCCACCCGAGACUCAGUGAAAUUGAACUCGCUGUGAAGAUGCAGUGUACCCGCGGCAAGACGGAAAGACCCCGUGAACCUUUACUAUAGCUUGACACUGAACAUUGAGCCUUGAUGUGUAGGAUAGGUGGGAGGCUUUGAAGUGUGGACGCCAGUCUGCAUGGAGCCGGCCUUGAAAUACCACCCUUUAAUGUUUGAUGUUCUAACGUUGGCCCCUGAUCGGGGUUGCGGACAGUGUCUGGUGGGUAGUUUGACUGGGGCGGUCUCCUCCUAAAGAGUAACGGAGGAGCACGAAGGUUGGCUAAUCCUGGUCGGACAUCAGGAGGUUAGUGCAAUGGCAUAAGCCAGCUUGACUGCGAGCGUGACGGCGCGAGCAGGUGCGAAAGCAGGUCAUAGUGAUCCGGUGGUUCUGAAUGGAAGGGCCAUCGCUCAACGGAUAAAAGGUACUCCGGGGAUAACAGGCUGAUACCGCCCAAGAGUUCAUAUCGACGGCGGUGUUUGGCACCUCGAUGUCGGCUCAUCACAUCCUGGGGCUGAAGUAGGUCCCAAGGGUAUGGCUGUUCGCCAUUUAAAGUGGUACGCGAGCUGGGUUUAGAACGUCGUGAGACAGUUCGGUCCCUAUCUGCCGUGGGCGCUGGAGAACUGAGGGGGGCUGCUCCUAGUACGAGAGGACCGGAGUGGACGCAUCACUGGUGUUCGGGUUGUCAUGCCAAUGGCACUGCCCGGUAGCUAAAUGCGGAAGAGAUAAGUGCUGAAAGCAUCUAAGCACGAAACUUGCCCCGAGAUGAGUUCUCCCUGACUCCUUGAGAGUCCUGAAGGAACGUUGAAGACGACGACGUUGAUAGGCCGGGUGUGUAAGCGCAGCGAUGCGUUGAGCUAACCGGUACUAAUGAACCGUGAGGCUUAACCUUACAACGCCGAAGGUGUUU